Long non-coding RNA from Anoplophora glabripennis (Asian longhorned beetle), 1230 nucleotides. RefSeq lists it as uncharacterized. Lineage: Eukaryota; Metazoa; Arthropoda; Insecta; Coleoptera; Cerambycidae. The transcript is spliced from 3 exons. The record is from RefSeq and is a predicted model, not a curated record.
ACGCGGAAUGUGUUCUGUAAACGUAAUGUAAUGGUUGCGAUGCAUUCAUGAUAUUCUACUGGAAUUUUCGAACUGGGAAAUGUGCAGAGAAUUAUAAUAAACUUCCACAUAUGUUCAUUUAAAAAUCUGUGAGACCGUUUGAGCCAGCACGACUAACUAAUGCAAUUCCAAAGGAAAGAAAACACGAAAGUUGUCUUCAUGAGGUUUUACAAGGGGUUUAGUUUUACAAGGAGUUUAUGGCAACUAAAAAAAAUUGGAAGGUGAUGGCAGACUUCCCAUGGCAGAUUCAAAUACAUAGACUGAUAUAAGUUUCGCCCGUGGGAUGUUGACUGUUAACUACCGUAAUGAAAAAUCUCCUUUGGGGCAAUACUAAGCGCAAUUGUCCAGUUUACAUUAGUAUGGGUCAUAAUUUUAGACGAUAUGUUAAUUAACAGUUAGAAAUAUUUCUCAAUCUAUCCAUUUCAAGUAACACUGCUGCUACUAAUCGUUGAGGAUUGCCCUCAUGAGGACACAGACAAUCUUGGCUGCAGCAUCAGGUUAUUUUUAUCAUUUUAAUGUACUAUUGUUAUAACUGAAUAAGCAUGCAAAAUUUCAAAGUCGUAAGUUUAGAGGAAGUGGUUCAAAUCUGGCUUGCAAGAUUUGACUUAGACAUACAUACAUGUGUAGUUAAAAAAAACUCAUUUUAGUGUAUUGCCAUCAGAACUGAACAAGCAUGCAAAAUUUCAAAGUUGUAAGUGGUUCAAAUUUGGCUCGCAAGAUUUGAAGUAACAUACAAACAUACACAUAAGUGUGUAAAAUGUAAAGUGUGUAAAAUUAAAAAAAAAGCUUGUAAGAAAAGAAUUUCUACUGCAGUUGGGGAAAAUCGGAUAUUAGGGAGUAUUCUAAUCUAAUAAUUAAACUUCACCCUUUUGCCAAAUGUAUGCGUUUAUAAAACCUCUUUUUAUGAUUUGGAUCAAUUAACAUCUAUUAGACUAAUAACAGUAGGCAUCUAAAAAUUAUCAAAGAGCUAUAUCUCAGUAGGUGUUGACAUCUGGUCAAAGCUAAGUUGAUUUAGUAUAUAAAAAAAAAAUACAAAAUGGGAAAAUUCAGUAAAAAUAUAAAGUUUAAUUAAAUUUGAAUACCCCAGAAUAUUCCGCUCUUCGUAGAUAACUAGUAGAUAACUGUUUCGGAAAAUAUAAAUGCAUGUUUCUCCGAGCUAGGCACGUUAGUCACAUGUAACCCGUAAUUUCA